AUGACAAUGGAAGAGAUGAAGAAUGAAGCUGAGACCACAUCCAUGGUGUCUACACCCCUCUAUGCAGUCACGUAUCCUGUGUUUAAUGAGCUAGAACGAGUAAAUCUGUCUGCAUCCCAGACACUGAGAGCCGCUUUCAUUAAGGCUGAAAAAGAAAAUCCAGGUCUCACACACGACAUCAUUAUGAAAAUUUUAGAGAAAAAAAGUGUAGAAGUUAACCUCAUGGAGUCCCUUCUUUGUAUGGCAGCUGAUGAUAUAGAAGAAUAUAUGAUUGAGUGGCCAGAGCCAGAAUUCCAAGACCUAAACAAAAAGGCAUGAGCACUUAAACAAAUUCUGAGUAAGAUCCCAGAUGAGAUCAAUGACGGAGUGAGGUUUCUGCAGACAAUCAAGGAUAUAGCUAGUGCAAUAAAAGAACUUCUUGAUAUGGUGAAUAAUGUCUUCAAGAAAUAUCAAUACCAGAACCGCAGGGCACUUGAAUACCAAAAGAAAGAAUUUGUAAAGUACUCCAAAAGUUUCAGUGAUACUCUGAAAACAUAUUUUAAAGAUGGCAAGGCACUAAAUGUGUUCAUAAGUGCCAACCGACUAAUUCAUCAAACCAACUUCAUACUUCAGACCUUCAAAACUGUGGCCUGAAAGUUGG
Molecule: RNA transcript, 640 nt
Organism: Rhinopithecus roxellana (golden snub-nosed monkey)
Lineage: Eukaryota; Metazoa; Chordata; Mammalia; Primates; Cercopithecidae
Gene name: programmed cell death protein 10 pseudogene
Exons: 1
Source: RefSeq, a predicted model, not a curated record